This 129-nucleotide non-coding RNA is filed under the name Haematospirillum jordaniae. RNAcentral describes it as "TPP sequence". It matches the Rfam family "TPP riboswitch aptamer (THI element)". From Rfam's summary of the family: Vitamin B(1) in its active form thiamin pyrophosphate (TPP) is an essential coenzyme that is synthesised by coupling of pyrimidine and thiazole moieties in bacteria. Lineage: Bacteria; Pseudomonadati; Pseudomonadota; Alphaproteobacteria; Rhodospirillales; Novispirillaceae. The record is from Rfam by way of RNAcentral.
CGCUGUUCCGAGGGGUGCCCCCGUCCGUUUUCACAUCCGGGCCAAGGCGCUGAGAUCUGGCUGACUGGCCGGAAACCCUUUGAACCUGAUCCGGGUCAUACCGGCGGAGGGACAGGAACAGCAAGGAGC